AUGCUUGUGUGGAAUGUGCGAGGCCUAAGCGCCCCCGCGAGGAGGAAUGUAGUCUUUCAGGUGGUGAAUUCGGCUAGUCCGGCCAUUGUGUGUUUGCAGGAAACGAAAAUGCAUGUGAUCUCGGACACUAUUGUACGACAGUGCCUUGGUAAUAUUGGGCAAGUCUUUUACUUGCCUGCUGUGGGGACACAUGGGGGUAUCUUGAUAGCUUGGGAUGAAACGAUCACCCAACUAUCAAACCUGCAUCAGACUAAUCAUACGCUUACGGUGCUUGUUAAGUGCAUGGAUGAUGCUCAGCCAUGGUGGCUAACUUGUGUGUAUGGGCCAUAG
RNAcentral lists this ribosomal RNA (330 nucleotides) under Triticum aestivum (bread wheat). RNAcentral's name for it is "partial small subunit ribosomal RNA". The record is from RNAcentral. Lineage: Eukaryota; Viridiplantae; Streptophyta; Magnoliopsida; Poales; Poaceae.